GGCUACCACAUCUAAGGAAGGCAGCAGGCGCGUAAAUUACCCAAUCCUGACUCAGGGAGGUAGUGACNAGAAAUAACGGACCGAGGCCCUCGGGCUUCGGGAUUGCAAUGAGCCGAAUUUACACCCCUUAGCGAGGAUCGAUUGGAGGGCAAGUCUGGUGCCAGCAGCCGCGGUAAUUCCAGCUCCAAUAGCGUAUAUUAAAGUUGUUGCAGUUAAAAAGCUCGUAGUUGGAUUUCUGGGAGGGUGCCAAUGUCCGCCGACGUGCGUGCGCAGCGGCGCCCUUCCAUCCUUCUGUUAACGCCUCUUGGCAUUCAUUUGCUGGUGGCGGGCUCAGAUAUUUUACCUCGAGAAAAUUAGAGUGUUUCAGGCAGGCUAGGCCGGAAUACAUUAGCAUGGAAUAAUGGAAUAGGACUACGGUCUCUUUGUUGGUUUGAGGGACUGCAGUAAUGAUUAAUAGGGAUAGUUGGGGGCAUUAGUAUUUAAUUGUCAGAGGUGGAAUUCUCGGAUUUGUU
Molecule: ribosomal RNA, 512 nt
Filed under: uncultured ciliate
Lineage: Eukaryota; Ciliophora
Description: SSU rRNA
Rfam family: Eukaryotic small subunit ribosomal RNA
Source: RNAcentral